RNAcentral lists this ribosomal RNA (119 nucleotides) under Pteropus alecto (black flying fox). Lineage: Eukaryota; Metazoa; Chordata; Mammalia; Chiroptera; Pteropodidae. The record is from RNAcentral.
GUCCACAGCCACGCCACCCUGAACGCGUCCGAUCUCAUCCGUUCUCGGAAGCUAAGCAGGGUCGGGCCUGGUUAGUACUUGGAUGGGAGACCCCCUAGAAAGACCAGGUGCUGUAGGUG